UCUCUCUCUUCCCCCUCAGUCUCUUCUGGUUCUCUUUUCAUUUCUUCCUUUUUUUCGUCAUUCUCUCUCUUUUUCUUUUCCUUUGUCAUCUUCCUCUUCCUCAGGCAACAAGACUAAUAAGUGAACCACAAAAUCCAUUUGGGUGUUUCUGCCUUCCUGCUCAUAAACUUUGACAGUGGAAUUAGCACAUGAAGAGGUGGAGAAAGUUGGGCUUUUUCCUCUUCAACAUUGCUGCAAUACUCUAAGAUAUGCUCUAUGCCAUCAAAUGUUGGAUCUGUUUUUGAUAGUUCUGUGUGUAUUUAGUUGCUGGGUUUCCAGCCACAAAUGACCAAAAGCAUUGCGUGGAAUAUACUUGGCAAUGGAUGGACUAAAAUUGUUAGAGUUGUUAUAGGCAGCCUUCAAGCAUGACAGUGGAAGGGUGCACAAAGAGAAGCACCAAAGAUGGUGAUAAAUCCACACUGGUACAGGCGGUUAACAAAACCUGAGCUGCUUCAAUUUUUCAAAUUCGCUCGGUUAAAGAACAAUUGUUACUCAAAUUGAUGUUAAUUCAGAAAUAGUAACUAUGAUGAUAUGAAAGCAAGUAUUAUGAUAUGAAAUAGUUAUUAAUUAGUA
This is a non-coding RNA of Coffea arabica (coffee), 612 nucleotides long. Lineage: Eukaryota; Viridiplantae; Streptophyta; Magnoliopsida; Gentianales; Rubiaceae. The record is from RefSeq and is a predicted model, not a curated record.